AACGAACGCUGGCGGCAUGCCUAACACAUGCAAGUCGAACGGGAUCCUAGCUUGCUAGGUGAGAGUGGCGGACGGGUGAGUAACACGUGGGAAUCUGCCUUUUGGUUCGGGAUAACCGCGGAAACUGCGGCUAAUACCGAAUGCCCUCGAGAGAGGAAAGAUUUAUCGCCAGAAGAGGAGCCCGCGUCCGAUUAGGUAGUUGGUGGGGUAAAGCCUACCAAGCCGACGAUCGGUAGCUGGUCUGAGAGGAUGAUCAGCCACACUGGGACUGAGAUACGGCCCAGACUCCUACGGGAGCAGCAGUGGGAAUAUUGGACAAUGGGGGCAACCCUGAUCCAGCAAUGCCGCGUGAGUGAUG
Molecule: ribosomal RNA, 358 nt
Filed under: uncultured bacterium
Lineage: Bacteria
Description: bacterial SSU rRNA
Rfam family: Bacterial small subunit ribosomal RNA
Source: RNAcentral